This 254-nucleotide ribosomal RNA is filed under the name uncultured bacterium. RNAcentral's name for it is "partial 16S ribosomal RNA". It matches the Rfam family "Bacterial small subunit ribosomal RNA", at positions 524 to 776 of the family's 1533-position model. The record is from RNAcentral.
UACGGGGGGAGCAAGCGUUGUUCGGAUUUACUGGGCGUAAAGGGCGCGUAGGCGGCCACCGCAAGUCGGUUGUGAAAUCUCUGGGCUUAACCCAGAAAGGUCAACCGAUACUGCGGGGCUAGAGUGCAGAAGGGGCAACUGGAAUUCCCGGUGUAGCGGUGAAAUGCGUAGAUAUCGAGAGGAACACCUGCGGCGAAGGCGGGUUGCUGGGCUGACACUGACGCUGAAGCGCGAAAGCUAGGGGAGCGAACGGG